AAGCUCUGAGCACCUGGAAAGGAAUAAGUGGGACAGGGCAUGACAUCUACCAUCUCUACCAUCAGCCUCGUCUCCGAGAGGCACUUCCUGUGCCCGCUGUGUAAGGACAUCUUCAGCAGUCCCGUGACUACUCCGUGUGGCCACAGUUUCUGUCAGGACUGCCUGUGUGGCUACUGGACCCGGCACCGUUCAGACUACUGUCCCCUCUGCAAGAGAUUGUUCCAUUCCAGGCCAGACCUUAGUGUCAACCGCAUCCUGGCUGACGUCUGUGACAACUACAGGAAGACACGGCCUGAGAGCCCUGAGGAGAGCCACGACACGCCGCAGGUUGUAGACAUUGACCAGAUGAUCCAGGAGCGAUUGAAGAAAGUUGACAGACUCAGACACUCCCUGCAGCUCCUCAAAAACUCGUGUGUGAGGGAGGUGCGUGAGAGCCAGAAGGUGUUCUCUGCCCUUGUCAGUUCCAUGGAGAAGAGCCACAAGGCCGUGGUGGCAGCCAUUGAGGAGAGACAGGGGGAGCAGGAGAGGAUUGUUGAGAAGCUGGUGAAGGAGCUGGAACAGGAGAUUCUACAGCUGAGGAAUGGAGACACUGACCUGGGGCCUUGUCAUUCUCAGCAGAGCCAUGAUGAGCUCUGUGGGGGUGGUGGUCAGAAGAGUGUUGCAGUGAGUACCACUUCCACCAUGGGCUACUCUGAGAGGAGGGACUGGUCCAAGGUUUCCAUGGAGACAGACCCCUGUAUGGGCGUGACCAGGAGAGCAGUGUCAGACCUGAUGGACGUGCUUAAAGGAGAGCUCUGUAGACUCUCUAAAGCUGGGUGAGUGAAAUGUCAGAUCUGUUAGUCUGGGAAGGAUUCUUAUGGAGCUGUUAUCUUCAGGGUGAGUGAAAUGUCACAUCUGUUAGUCUGGGAAGGAUUCUUAUGGAACUGUUAUCUUCAGGGUGAGUGAAAUGUCACAUCUGUUAGUCUGGGAAGGAUUCUUACUGGAGCUGUUAUCUUUAGGGUGAGUGAAAUGUCAGAUCUGUUAGUCUGGGAAGGAUUCUUAUGGAACUGUUAUCUUUAGGGUGAGUGAAAUGUCAGAUCUGUUUGUCUGGGAAGGAUUCUUAUGGAACUGUUAUCUUUAGGGUGAGUGAAAUGUCAGAUCUGUUUGUCUGGGAAGGAUUCUUACUGGAGCUGUUAUCUUUAGGGUGAGUGAAAUGUCACAUCUGUUUGUCUGGGAAGGAUUCUUACUGGAGCUGUUAUCUUUAGGGUGAGUGAAAUGUCAGAUCUGUUAGUCUGGGAAGGAUUCUUAUGGAGCUGUUAUCUUUAGGGUGAGUGAAAUGUCAGAUCUGUUUGUCUGGGAAGGAUUCUUACUGGAGCUGUUAUCUUUAGGGUGAGUGAAAUGUCAGAUCUGUUAGUCU
RNA transcript from Oncorhynchus keta (chum salmon), 1396 nucleotides. It is a transcript of the gene named E3 ubiquitin-protein ligase TRIM11-like, with no coding region annotated. The transcript is spliced from 10 exons. Lineage: Eukaryota; Metazoa; Chordata; Actinopteri; Salmoniformes; Salmonidae. The record is from RefSeq and is a predicted model, not a curated record.